Megalops cyprinoides (Indo-Pacific tarpon) is the source of this 272-nucleotide long non-coding RNA. RefSeq lists it as uncharacterized. Lineage: Eukaryota; Metazoa; Chordata; Actinopteri; Elopiformes; Megalopidae. The record is from RefSeq and is a predicted model, not a curated record. The transcript has 3 exons.
AAGGCUUGGUAUAAAAACACCAGCCACUGUAGUUUGAGCCUCCUUUCCGCGCUGAACGUUUGAGAUGCGGUGCCACAACUACUGGAUCGCCUCCCCACGUGAGGAACAAUCGCGCGUGUCUGUCUGGAUGGACAGACUGAUCCAAGCGGGCUAACUUGUUCCUUGAAGAGGCCAUGGCUUGAUUGCUGCUAGAUGCACUGAAGAUGCCACUAUGUGCAGGAUGAUUCCAGAGGUAAUUGUUUCCCACUUGAAGUGUCUCCAUUUCUUUAAAG